RNAcentral lists this ribosomal RNA (201 nucleotides) under uncultured bacterium. RNAcentral describes it as "partial 16S ribosomal RNA". It matches the Rfam family "Bacterial small subunit ribosomal RNA", at positions 334 to 552 of the family's 1533-position model. The record is from RNAcentral.
UACUCCUACGGGAGGCAGCAGUAGGGAAUCUUGCGCAAUGGGCGAAAGCCUGACGCAGCCAUGCCGCGUGAAUGACGAAGGUCUUAGGAUUGUAAAAUUCUUUCACCGGGGACGAUAAUGACGGUACCCGGAGAAGAAGCCCCGGCUAACUUCGUGCCAGCAGCCGCGGUAAUACGAAGGGGGCUAGCGUUGCUCGGAAUU